GACGAACGCUGGCGGCGUGCUUAACACAUGCAAGUCGAACGGAAAGGCCCUGCUUUUGUGGGGUGCUCGAGUGGCGAACGGGUGAGUAACACGUGAGUAACCUGCCCUUGACUUUGGGAUAACUUCAGGAAACUGGGGCUAAUACCGGAUAGGAGCUCCUGCUGCAUGGUGGGGGUUGGAAAGUUUCGGCGGUUGGGGAUGGACUCGCGGCUUAUCAGCUUGUUGGUGGGGUAGUGGCUUACCAAGGCUUUGACGGGUAGCCGGCCUGAGAGGGUGACCGGCCACAUUGGGACUGAGAUACGGCCCAGACUCCUACGUGAGGCAGCGGUGGGGAAUAUUGCACAAUGGGCGGAAGCCUGAUGCAGCAACGCCGCGUGCGGGAUGACGGCCUUCGUGUUGUAAACCGCUUUCGCCUGUGACGAAGCGUGAGUGACGGUAAUGGGUAAAGAAGCACCGGCUAACUACGUG
This 468-nucleotide ribosomal RNA is filed under the name uncultured bacterium. RNAcentral's name for it is "partial 16S ribosomal RNA". It matches the Rfam family "Bacterial small subunit ribosomal RNA", at positions 28 to 507 of the family's 1533-position model. The record is from RNAcentral.